This 860-nucleotide long non-coding RNA is filed under the name Marmota monax (woodchuck). The record is from RNAcentral. Lineage: Eukaryota; Metazoa; Chordata; Mammalia; Rodentia; Sciuridae.
AUCUUGAAAACAGUGAGAAAGAAGUGACUCAUUACAUAAAAGAGUUCCUGAAUAAGAGUAAAGCCAUUUUCUCAUCAGAAACCACAGAAGCCAGAAGUCAGUAGGUUGACACAUUCAAAGUGAUGAAAGAAGAAUACCGUCAAACUUAAAUUCUUUAUUUUAAACUAUUUUUUAUUGGUGCAUUAUAGUUGUACAUAUGGUGGGAUUUGUGUCAGAUGUCACAUGUGCACACAAUACAGCAACAUAGUCUGGCCCAUACUAUUCCCCAGUGUCUCCUCUUUCACUCCCCUCCUCCCUCCCCUGCUCCCUUUGCUCUACUCUUCUGAUCUCCCUUUGAUUUUCAUGAGAUUCCCCCAACUCCUUUCUUUCCCCUUUCCUCUCUAGCUUCCACACAGAAAGAAAGCAUGCAAAGCUUGACCUUCCGAGUUUGGCUUAUUUCACUUAACGUAAGUUUCACCCAUUUUUCCUGCAAAUGACUUGUGUAAUUUUUCUUUAUGGCUGAAUAAAACUCCAUUGUGUAUACACAUACACCACAUUUUCUUUGUCUAUUCAUCUGUUGGUGGACACCUUGGCUGGUUCCAAAGUUUGGCUAUUGUGAAUUGUGCUGCUAUAAACAUGGGUAUGUAUAUAUACUGUAAUAAGAUGACUUUAAUUCUUUAGGAUAAAUACUGAGGAGUGGUACAGCUAUGUCAAAUGGUAGUUCCAUUCCCAGUCUUUUGAGGAAACUCCAUACUGAUUUACAUUGUUCAGCCUUAAAUUCUUUAAUCUGGAAAAACUGUUCUUCACAAAUGAGGAAGAAAUUAGGACAUUCCCAGAUAAACAAAACAAAGAAUUCAUUGCUUGCAGAAAUGGUAUACAAG